RNAcentral lists this ribosomal RNA (253 nucleotides) under uncultured bacterium. RNAcentral's name for it is "partial 16S ribosomal RNA". It matches the Rfam family "Bacterial small subunit ribosomal RNA", at positions 524 to 776 of the family's 1533-position model. The record is from RNAcentral.
UACGUAGGAUGCAAGCGUUGUCCGGAUUUAUUGGGCGUAAAGCGAACGUAGGCGGCUUCUUAAGUUUGGUCUUAAAGACCGGGGCUCAACCCCGGGAAUGGACUGAAUACUGGGAGGCUAGAGGAUGUCAGAGGAAAGUGGAACUCCUAGUGUAGCGGUGAAAUGCGUAGAUAUUAGGAGGAACACCAGUGGCGAAAGCGACUUUCUGGGACAUUUCUGACGCUGAGGUUCGAAAGCUCGGGGAGCAAACAGG